Molecule: long non-coding RNA, 503 nt
Filed under: Mus musculus (house mouse)
Lineage: Eukaryota; Metazoa; Chordata; Mammalia; Rodentia; Muridae
Description: RIKEN cDNA 1700048O14 gene (1700048O14Rik)
Source: RNAcentral
AGUGGAAGAGCACUUGCCUACAAUGCACAAGGUCCUGGGUUCAAUUCGACACUACCAACCAACAACAGCAAAAACUAAAGGCUUCUCAGAUAGCUGCAGAAGUACAGAAAAUGCAGAGCAUGGCGAAGCUGAGCUGUAAUUCAGAAGCCAGGUUCAAGAAAGUGCCAGCAUAGAAUCUCUGAAAACCACUAGAAGCUCCUGGGAAGAAAAUUUCGCAGCUGAGAGUCAGGCCUUCAAAAGGGCUGUUUCCCUAGAAAUUUCAAUGGGUGCAGAAAACCACUGUCACUGAUCACUCGGUGUCAGAGUGAACCAAAGGAGUUUUGCUUUCAAAAUGGAAAAGCCUUUGAAAAUGCCUUCUUCAAGCUAUGGUUUCCUUCUUAUGCCCGCAUGAGGAUGAUUCUUGAAAAGGAUGCAGCAGUUAAAGUGUAGGACAAACUCUUUCCUCAAGAAUGGAGUCAAUGUAUCAAUGAUAAGAACCCAUAAAGUUAUUGUUUAAAUUUUAA